This is a non-coding RNA of Acanthosepion pharaonis, 113 nucleotides long. NCBI's taxonomy places the organism in Eukaryota, Metazoa, Mollusca, Cephalopoda, Sepiida, Sepiidae. The record is from the annotation of a GenBank genome assembly.
UACGGCCACGUCACAUUGAAACAUCGGUUCUCGUACGAUCGCCAAUGUUAAGCAACGUCGAGCCUGGGUAAUACCUAGAUGGGUGAAAACCUGGGAAGUCCAGGGGCUGUAAG